This 250-nucleotide ribosomal RNA is filed under the name uncultured bacterium. RNAcentral's name for it is "partial 16S ribosomal RNA". It matches the Rfam family "Bacterial small subunit ribosomal RNA", at positions 524 to 773 of the family's 1533-position model. The record is from RNAcentral.
UACGUAGGGAGCAAGCGUUGUCCGGAAUUACUGGGCGUAAAGAGCGUGUAGGCGGCCCUUUAAGUCAGAUGUGAAAACUCAGGGCUCAACCCUGAGACGGCAUCUGAAACUGGAGGGCUUGAGUGCAGGAGAGGAAAGUGGAAUUCCUAGUGUAGCGGUGAAAUGCGUAGAUAUUAGGAGGAACACCAGUGGCGAAGGCGACUUUCUGGACUGUAACUGACGCUGAGACGCGAAAGCGUGGGGAGCAAAC